This 723-nucleotide ribosomal RNA is filed under the name uncultured archaeon. Its description in RNAcentral is "bacterial SSU rRNA". It matches the Rfam family "Archaeal small subunit ribosomal RNA", at positions 16 to 744 of the family's 1478-position model. The record is from RNAcentral.
GGCAGAGGUUACUGCUAUCGAGGUUCGACUAAGCCAUGCGAGUCGAAUGUAGCAAUACAUGGCGAACUGCUCAGUAACACGUGGACAACCUGCCCUUAGGUUGGGUAUAAACCCGGGAAACUGGGUAUAAUACCCGAUAGGUCUCGAUUGCUGGAAUGCAUCGAGAUUUAAAGCUCCGGCGCCUAAGGAUGGGUCUGCGGCCUAUCAGGUAGUAGUGGGUGUAGCGUACCUACUAGCCUACGACGGGUACGGGUUGUGAGAGCAAGAGCCCGGAGAUGGAUUCUGAGACACGAAUCCAGGCCCUACGGGGUGCAGCAGGCGCGAAAACUUUACAAUGCUGGCAACAGCGAUAAGGGAACCUCGAGUGCCAGGUUACAAAUCUGGCUGUCGAGAUGCCUAAAAAGCAUUUCAUAGCAAGGGCCGGGCAAGACCGGUGCCAGCCGCCGCGGUAACACCGGCGGCUCGAGUGGUAACCGUUAUUAUUGGGUCUAAAGGGUCUGUAGCCGGCCGGAUAAGUCUCUUGAGAAAUCUGGCAGCUUAACUGUCAGGCUUUCAGGAGAUACUGUCUGGCUCGAGGCCGGGAGAGGUGAGAGGUACUUCAGGGGUAGGGGUGAAAUCUUGUAAUCCUUGAAGGACCACCAGUGGCGAAGGCGUCUCACCAGAACGGACCUGACGGCAAGGGACGAAAGCUAGGGGCACGAACCGGAUUAGAUACCCGGGUAG